GAGUUUGAUCUUGGCUCAGAUUGAACGCUGGCGGCAGGCCUAACACAUGCAAGUCGGGCGGUAGAGAGAAGCUUGCUUCUCUUGAGAGCGGCGGACGGGUGAGUAAUGCCUAGGAAUCUGCCUGGUAGUGGGGGAUAACGCUCGGAAACGGACGCUAAUACCGCAUACGUCCUACGGGAGAAAGCAGGGGACCUUCGGGCCUUGCGCUAUCAGAUGAGCCUAGGUCGGAUUAGCUAGUUGGUGAGGUAAUGGCUCACCAAGGCGACGAUCCGUAACUGGUCUGAGAGGAUGAUCAGUCACACUGGAACUGAGACACGGUCCAGACUCCUACGGGAGGCAGCAGUGGGGAAUAUUGGACAAUGGGCGAAAGCCUGAUCCAGCCAUGCCGCGUGUGUGAAGAAGGUCUUCGGAUUGUAAAGCACUUUAAGUUGGGAGGAAGGCAGUAAAUUAAUACUUUGCUGUUUGACGUUACGACAGAAUAAGCACCGGCUAACUCUGUGCCAGCCG
Molecule: ribosomal RNA, 507 nt
Filed under: uncultured bacterium
Lineage: Bacteria
Description: bacterial SSU rRNA
Rfam family: Bacterial small subunit ribosomal RNA
Source: RNAcentral